Molecule: ribosomal RNA, 1560 nt
Filed under: Triticum aestivum (bread wheat)
Lineage: Eukaryota; Viridiplantae; Streptophyta; Magnoliopsida; Poales; Poaceae
Description: partial small subunit ribosomal RNA
Source: RNAcentral
AUGGCUACCAGGGAUGAGCAGCGGCAGCAGCUCCAACCCCUGCACAUCCUCUUCCUCCCGUUCUUCGCCCCCGGACACCUCAUUCCGGUCGUCGACAUGGCCACGAUAUUCUCCGCUCGCGGCGCGAGGUGCACCAUCCUCACCACGCCCGUCAACGCCGACAUCAUCCGUCCGGCCGUCGACCGCGCCAACGACUCCAACUGCCACGGCACCGACUCCCCUUCCCCUGCAGUCGACAUCUCCGUCGUGCCUUUCCCCGAUGUAGGGCUCCCCCCAGGCAUGGAGAACCUCAUAUCCCUUACUCCAGCCCACGGAGCCGACUACAACUUCAAGUUCAUCCAGGCCGCGCAGCUGCUCCGCGAGCCCUUCGACCGGUUGAUAGCUGCCAACCGCCCCGACGCCGUCGUGUCCGACAGCUUCUUCAGGUGGUCCGCGGACGCCGCCGGGGAGCACGGCGUCCCGCGCCUCGUGUUCCUCGGUAGCAGCGUGUUCGCCCGGUGCUGCAGCGAGACCAUGCUGCGCACCAACCCGCUAGAGACAACGACGGCUACCACCGACGACGACCCUGAUGACGACGCCCAGCUCGUCUCCCUGCCGGGGCUGCCGCACCGUGUCCAGCUGAGGCGGAGCCAGAUGAUGGAUCCCAGGAAGCGGCCGGCGAUGUGGGCAUUCCACAAGGACAACGAUGCCGCGGACCAGAGGAGCUUCGGCGAGGUGUUCAACAGCUUCCACGAGCUGGAGCCGGACUACGUCGAGCACUUCCGCACGACGCUCGGCCGCCGUGCGUGGCUCGUGGGGCCGGUCGCGCUCGCCAGCAAAGACAUGGCUAAGAGAGGCAGCACCAACAACACGAAGGCACACGUCACCGACGACUGCCUGCGGUGGUUGGACGCAAAGCGGGCCGGCUCGGUGGUGUACGUCUCCUUUGGCACGUUCACCAGUUUCUCGCCGGCCGAGCUGCGCGAGCUCGCCCGCGGCCUGGACCUCUCUGGCAAGGACUUCGUGUGGAUCAUCAGCUCCGGCACAGGCACGGACGGGUCAGAGUGGAUGCCUGAGGGCUUCGCCGAGCUGAUGGCACGCGGUGACCGCGGCAUCAUCAUCCGAGACUGGGCGCCGCAGACGCUCAUCCUCAACCACCCCGCCAUGGGCGGCUUCAUGACGCACUGCGGCUGGAACUCGGCGCUGGAGGCCGUGAGCGCCGGCGUGCCGAUGGUCACGUGGCCGCGGUAUGCGGACCAGUUCUACAACGAGAAGCUCAUCGUGGAUGUGCUCAAGGUGGGUGUCAGCAUCGGCGCCAAGGACUUCGCCUCGCCUCUGGAGAGACAUGAGGUGAUCGGCGGCGAGGUGAUCGCUGGAUGCAUCGGGAGGCUGAUGGGCAGCAGCGAGGAGGGCGACGCCUUACGGAAGAAGGCCAAGGACCUCAGUGUGAAAGCAAGGAGCGCCAUGGCGAAGGGUGGAUCUUCGUACGACGACGUCGGAAGGCUGAUGGGUGAGUUGAUGGCUCGCCGGAGUUCUGGAGAAGUCACCCGGGCGGCGAGUUUUGGUACGCCUGCCGACUGA